GAAUCAGAGAAGUGUUGCCCAAUAGUUUGCUGAAUCAAAUUAUCAGUGGCUGUAUCAACUGAGGCGGUAGCUUCAUCAAGGACCAAGACCUUACUCCUCUUUAGUAGAACACGUCCAAGACAGACCAGCUGCCUCUGACCCAUACUCCAGUUCUCCCCAUUCUCAGUAACUAUGGAAUCUAACUUUUUCUCCUUCUUCCUGACUUCAUGUCCAAGCUGACACUUAUCGAGAGCCUCCCAAAUUUGUUCAUCUGUGUACUCUUCAAGAGGGUCCAGGUUGCUCCGAACAGUCCCUUCAAACAUGGUUGGUUCCUGAGGAAUAAUGCUUAAUCUCGAGCGCAAAUCAUGCAGUCCAAUCGAUGAGAUAUUGAUGCCAUCAAUCACAAUCUGACCAGCUGCAGGUUCAACAAUGCGGAAGAGAGUUUGUAUUAGAGUCGAUUUACCACUGCCCGUUCUCCCAACGAUACCAGUUUUCUUCCCCCCUGGAAAAGCGCAUUUGAGACCUCGCAACACAAGUGGCAUAUGUGGGGCAUACCGGACCUGCAGAUUAUCAAUAUCAACUUCUCCAUGUGAUGGCCAAGAAUGGUCUGGCCGAUUUCCUUCUAUUACAAGAGGAGGCUCACUAGGAGUAGACAUGUACUGAAAUAUUCUUUCUACAGAUAUAAUCUUGUUCUCCAGAUUGCAAAUUUUCCAUAUUAACCAAGUUUGUAUGGUGUUGAGGUUGAGUCCAUAUGUCACAGCUAGGCCCGCAAUAGCUGGAUCAAUUCUGUCUUGAAAAGAGAUUAAUAAAACCAAUGAUGUCGCAAAUGUAAUAGAAGAAAACACAUCCAAACGGAAGCAAAGCCAUUCCAUUGCACCAGCAAUAUGAAAUUUAGGCCGACAAAAUGCGUCCAUAACUUUCAUAUUUGUUCUUUGGAAUCUUGAUUGCUGAUCAAAGCUCCUGAUCGUAGUUGAUCCUGAUAUUGUUUCAG
RNAcentral lists this unclassified non-coding RNA (970 nucleotides) under Hevea brasiliensis (rubber tree). The record is from RNAcentral. Lineage: Eukaryota; Viridiplantae; Streptophyta; Magnoliopsida; Malpighiales; Euphorbiaceae.